UUAAGCGACUAAGCGUACACGGUGGAUGCCCUGGCAGUCAGAGGCGAUGAAGGACGUGCUAAUCUGCGAAAAGCGUCGGUAAGGUGAUAUGAACCGUUACAGCCGGCGAUGUCCGAAUGGGGAAACCCAGUGUGAUUCGUCACACUAUCGUUAACUGAAUACAUAGGUUAACGAGGCGAACCGGGGGAACUGAAACAUCUAAGUACCCCGAGGAAAAGAAAUCAACCGAGAUUCCCCCAGUAGCGGCGAGCGAACGGGGAGCAGCCCAGAGUCUGAAUCAGCUUGUGUGUUAGUGGAACGGUCUGGAAAGUCCGACGGUACAGGGUGAUAGUCCCGUACACCAAAAUGCACAGGCUGUGAACUCGAAGAGUAGGGCGGGACACGUGGUAUCCUGUCUGAAUAUGGGGGGACCAUCCUCCAAGGCUAAAUACUCCUGACUGACCGAUAGUGAACCAGUACCGUGAGGGAAAGGCGAAAAGAACCCCGGCGAGGGGAGUGAAAAAGAACCUGAAACCGUGUACGUACAAGCAGUGGGAGCACCUUCGGGUGUGACUGCGUACCUUUUGUAUAAUGGGUCAGCGACUUAUAUUCUGUAGCAAGGUUAACCGUAUAGGGGAGCCGCAGGGAAACCGAGUCUUAACUGGGCGUUAAGUUGCAGGGUAUAGACCCGAAACCCGGUGAUCUAGCCAUGGGCAGGUUGAAGGUUGGGUAACACUAACUGGAGGACCGAACCGACUAAUGUUGAAAAAUUAGCGGAUGACUUGUGGCUGGGGGUGAAAGGCCAAUCAAACCGGGAGAUAGCUGGUUCUCCCCGAAAGCUAUUUAGGUAGCGCCUCGUGAAUUCAUCUUCGGGGGUAGAGCACUGUUUCGGCUAGGGGGUCAUCCCGACUUACCAACCCGAUGCAAACUACGAAUACCGAAGAAUGUUAUCACGGGAGACACACGGCGGGUGCUAACGUCCGUCGUGAAGAGGGAAACAACCCAGACCGCCAGCUAAGGUCCCAAAGUCAUGGUUAAGUGGGAAACGAUGUGGGAAGGCACAGACAGCCAGGAUGUUGGCUUAGAAGCAGCCAUCAUUUAAAGAAAGCGUAAUAGCUCACUGGUCGAGUCGGCCUGCGCGGAAGAUGUAACGGGGCUAAACCAUGCACCGAAGCUGCGGCAGCGACACUAUGUGUUGUUGGGUAGGGGAGCGUUCUGUAAGCCUGCGAAGGUGACCUGUGAGGGUUGCUGGAGGUAUCAGAAGUGCGAAUGCUGACAUAAGUAACGAUAAAGCGGGUGAAAAGCCCGCUCGCCGGAAGACCAAGGGUUCCUGUCCAACGUUAAUCGGGGCAGGGUGAGUCGACCCCUAAGGCGAGGCCGAAAGGCGUAGUCGAUGGGAAACAGGUUAAUAUUCCUGUACUUGGUGUUACUGCGAAGGGGGGACGGAGAAGGCUAUGUUAGCCGGGCGACGGUUGUCCCGGUUUAAGCAUGUAGGCUGGUUGUCCAGGCAAAUCCGGAUAAUCAAGGCUGAGGUGUGAUGACGAGGCACUACGGUGCUGAAGUAACAAAUGCCCUGCUUCCAGGAAAAGCCUCUAAGCAUCAGGUAACAUUAAAUCGUACCCCAAACCGACACAGGUGGUCAGGUAGAGAAUACCAAGGCGCUUGAGAGAACUCGGGUGAAGGAACUAGGCAAAAUGGUGCCGUAACUUCGGGAGAAGGCACGCUGGUGUGUAGGUGAAGUCCCUGCGGAUGGAGCUGAGACCAGUCGAAGAUACCAGCUGGCUGCAACUGUUUAUUAAAAACACAGCACUGUGCAAACACGAAAGUGGACGUAUACGGUGUGACGCCUGCCCGGUGCCGGAAGGUUAAUUGAUGGGGUUAUCCGUAAGGAGAAGCUCUUGAUCGAAGCCCCGGUAAACGGCGGCCGUAACUAUAACGGUCCUAAGGUAGCGAAAUUCCUUGUCGGGUAAGUUCCGACCUGC
Molecule: ribosomal RNA, 1961 nt
Filed under: human gut metagenome
Description: bacterial LSU rRNA
Rfam family: Bacterial large subunit ribosomal RNA
Source: RNAcentral